This 371-nucleotide ribosomal RNA is filed under the name uncultured organism. RNAcentral's name for it is "bacterial SSU rRNA". It matches the Rfam family "Bacterial small subunit ribosomal RNA", at positions 526 to 896 of the family's 1533-position model. The record is from RNAcentral.
CAGAGGGUGCAAGCGUUAAUCGGAGUUACUGGGCGUAAAGGGCGCGUAGGCGGAUUGCUAAGUUGGAUGUGAAAUCCCUGGGCUUAACCUAGGAAUGGCAUACAAAACUGGCGAUCUGGAGUAUUGUAGAGGGUAGUGGAAUUUCCGGUGUAGCGGUGAAAUGCGUAGAGAUCGGAAGGAACACCAGUGGCGAAGGCGGCUACCUGGACAAAUACUGACGCUGAGGCGCGAAAGCGUGGGGAGCAAACAGGAUUAGAUACCCUGGUAGUCCACGCUGUAAACGAUGAGAACUAGAUGUUGGUAGGCAUGACCUAUUAGUAUCGAAGCUAACGCGAUAAGUUCUCCGCCUGGGGAGUACGGCCGCAAGGCUA